ACAAUCAGCGAAAAAGAAAGAAAAAAGAAAACGACAGUAGUUAUAUGCAAAUCAUAUUAAUUUUAAGCCUUCAUUUCUUUAUACUAUGUAAUUACUCCCGCUCAUAUUUGCUUAUUCUUCCCCUCUCAGAAAACCCUAAAACUAACACUAAAUAACUUAGUUCCGAGAAAAAUUAAAGAGCUGCUUUAGCUUAGCAUUUAGCUGUGAUAUUUACCAAACACCCAUUUGGUAACUUUAUUGCUUGAAGGGAAAAACCAUUUCUUUCCUUAUAUGCUUCUGUUAUGGGCAGUUCAGAGGUGUUAGAGAAUGGGGCGGCGAGAAAUGAUAAUGGUAUAAAAUCAUGUGGCGAGGAUGACCGCGAGGGAAUGACAAAUGGUAGCUUUGAGCAAAUGGUUAAUGGUUCAAAGGAAAAUGAGAAUUUGGGUGAUGAGAUUUUGGAGGAUUUCGAUACAUACUGGGAAGAUGUCAAUGACCGAUUAAUGGUAUCAAGAAUGGUAAGUGACUCGGUGAUUAAGGGAAUAGUGAGCGCGGUGGAACAAGAGGCAGCUGAGAGACUAGUGGCUAAGGAAACGGAAUUAGCCAAGUUGAAGGAGUAUUUGCAAUUUCAUGAUGGGGGUCUUAGCAAAACUGAAUCUCUUGGGUCACCCAUGUCGCAGGAUGAGUUAGAAAGCAUGAAUUUUCGAGAACAUAUGACUUUAUCAGAUGUUUUUAUGGAGCAUGGCAAGAUGGGAGACUUUCUUGAUGAGCUAAGAAGUUCGGCAAAAGAUGAAUUCAAGAAGCUGAAGAAGAGUAUUGAUGAGUUUAGAGGAUCCAAGUCUAUCAGGAACAUCAGCUCUCGCUCUGAGAUGGUGGGACUAGAAGGUAUUCUACAGGAGAAAGAAUCUGGAAUUUGGGUUCGGUUGGACAAAACAGUAAAUAACUUGAAAAUGAUGGUGGAUACCGUCUUUAAACAAAUGGAUGAUAUGCUGCAGUUGUCCAAGACAUCACUUGGUCAGUGGCAGGAGGAGCAUCUUACCCAAGUGGAGAUUGAGGCCAUGGUAAUGCGUAGUGUAAUUCGGACUGUGCAAGAAGACUUUGAGUACAAAUUGUGUGAUCAGUAUGCUAAAUUUUGUGGUGACCGAAAUGGGAAGUUGAAUGACAUCUCUAGUUUACGGACGGAGUUGGAUGCUGUUUUGAAGUCAUUGUCAAGUUCAGAAACAGGGUAUAUGACUUUCCAUGGAUCGCAUGAUGCAGAUGUCUUUACACGCAAGACAUCAAGUGAGCAUGUGACUUCUUCAAAUUGGGAUGGAAAUGAAAAGAUGGAAGAUUCUAAGACUGAUAUACCUGAGAACUUUGAUGCUGCCACGUUGAAGCACAUGUCAAAAGAGGAAAUGGUGACCUAUUUUAAUAAUAUAAUGACAAAGAUGAAGAGACACCAUGAGUCCAUUUUGCAAAAGAGAACCGAUGAAUAUUUUCAUCUAAGAGCAGAUUAUCUAAAGCUUAGAGGAGGCUCUGCUGUGCCACAUAAGAAGGAUAAGGGUGAAUCUGACAUUCUAAGGAAGAAGAUCCCAGAAAUUAUAUUCAAAUUGGAUGAUAUCCUUGUAGAGAAUGAAAAACAUCCUGCAUUUACCCAGGAGACUCUAAGUUUCGGUAACUUGAAGGAUAGGCUUGAUAGCCUUCUUUCUGAAAAUCACCAGCUUAGAGACUUGCUUAAACAUAAGCAAGUUGAAGUUAAGUCCCUUUUGUCCCAAGUUUCGGACGCCAAUGAGAAGAGGGUGCAACAUUCUUUGGUGGAAGCAGACAUGCUAAAACAGAUAGGAGAUCUCCAUUUAGCCAUGGAAGACUCACUGAUAGAAGCUUCUGUAAGGGAAGAAGUGUAUACCUGUUUUCUAAGGGAUCUUAGUGGGGGGACAAGAAAUGAAGUGGAGGAAUUAAACUUGGGAUUUGAUAUGCAUAAUGAUAGUAAUGAUACUGAUGCUGAAAUUACAAAAUUUGAAAUUGAAGAUUUAGAGAUAGAGUGCCUCAUUAUGCAAGAAAUUUGUGGAGUGAUUUCCGGUGAAGGCAUCAAGGAGGCUAAAGACAUGCUUAAGGAACUGUAUCCAGAGUAUUUGAAUGAAAAAGACAUUCGUAUUUCUCUCGAAACAAAAGUUAUUGAGAUGGAAAACAAAUUAAAAUUCGAGGUUGAAGAGAAGGACAGACUAAAGCAACUGGUUUCUGAGCUGGAAAUAUGUGUGACUGAAAAGGAGAAUUUAGCAACAGAGGCAUCGGCUGCUCUAGCAAAAAAGAUGGGUCAAUUUGAGCAGGUGCUUCAAGAGUUAAAUGCUGUGAAAGAAUUUGCAAGUCAACAAGAAGCAUUAGCUUCUGGGUGCAACAAAGAAGUAAAUGUAGUAAAGGGCCAGUUGGCAGAAGCAUUGGCGCAAAUUGAAGUAUUGAAAGAGGAGGCAGCCCAAAUAAAUAAAAGUCUUGAGGAGAAGGAGGAGGAGUUAAAAGAAGCUAAUCACAGGGAAAAUAUGGUCUGUGCUAUUUCUGAAGAGAGGCAAACUCUUUUGUCCUCGCUUGAAGCAAAAGAAAUGGAGCUAAGGAAGCAGGUGGAAACAAUAAUUGGUAAUUUACAUGAAUCGUCAAAGAUGCUUGCUGAUUUUGAUGGCUCGGUGACAGGAAGGUUGACAACAAAUAGUGCGAGGUUUGAGCACUCGUAUUCUCAAUUGGAUUCUCUUGUUAAGAAGGCCAAUUUACUGAGAAGAACAAUGCUACUGUACCAAGAAAGGCUUGAAAAAAGAUGUUCAGACCUUCAAUUGGCGGAGGCUGAGGUUGAUCUUUUGGGAGAUGAGGUGGAUACACUUUUAGGCUUACUUGAGAAGAUUUACAUAGCACUUGAUCAUUACUCGCCAGUUUUACAGCAUUAUCCUGGGGACUUUUGUUAGCUGGGUAUCCAGUUGUUAGCAUGUGCAACUUUUACAAAGCAGUGGUUAAAGGUCAAACGACGAGGGAUAAAGAUUAAAGACUAUAUUCCUACUGCUCUUGCUCUUCCAUUGAAGAUAAUCGGAUUAUGGAGAUUCUUAAGGUGAUCAAAAGGGAAUUAACUGGAGAGUCUACCAAGCUAGUAAAAUCAUCUCCUGGUUAAGAUAAUAGACAGUUCCUGGAACUUUUGCAUUCCUCCAUCCUGGCUGGUACAAUUUGAAGUUCAACACGAAGCUAGAAAAACAGAGUUUUGUUAGUGUGACAGAGAUGUAGUAUUACUUUUGUAGCAACUUGAAAUAGGGAGAAGUUUCGAAGUUUCAACUGACCUGGCUUGUAAAGGGGAUCCUAGUUAGUUCUGUAUAUUUUGUAUCAUCAGGCAGGAAAAACCCAACAACUAUAGCUGCAGCUGUGAAAUUUUAGGUAAUUUAGGUACAUUUGUCAGGUUUCUUGUAUAUGGAGAAGCAAAAUGUACAGACUACUUUGGCUAGUGUUAAUUUGACGGAAAUCCAUUUGUUUAUCA
Molecule: RNA transcript, 3460 nt
Organism: Lycium barbarum (goji berry)
Lineage: Eukaryota; Viridiplantae; Streptophyta; Magnoliopsida; Solanales; Solanaceae
Gene name: WPP domain-associated protein-like
Exons: 7
Source: RefSeq, a predicted model, not a curated record